UUGGCUGGAUGGUGAGGUAACGGCUCACCAUGGCUACGAUAGGUAGGGGGCCUGAGAGGGUGGUCGCCCACGCUGGUACUGAGCACACGGACCAGACUACUACGGGAGGCAGCAGUGAGGAAUAUUGGUCAAUGGGCGCAAGCCUGAACCAGCCAUGCCGCGUGCAGGAAGAAUGCCCUAUGGGUUGUAAACUGCUUUUAUUUGGGAAUAAACCUCUUUACGUGUAGAGAGCUGAAGGUACCAAAUGAAUAAGCACCGGCUAACUCCGUGCCAGCAGCCGCGGUAAUACGGAGGGUGCAAGCGUUAUCCGGAAUCAUUGGGUUUAAAGGGUCCGCACGCGGAUUUAUAACUCAGUGGUGAAAUCCUAUCGCUUAACGAUAUAACUGCCAUUGAUACUGUAAGUCUUGAAUUCGGUCGGACUGGGCGGAAUGUGUAGUGUAACGGUGAAAUGCAUAGAUAUUACACAGAACACCUAUAGCCAAGGCAGCUCACUA
RNAcentral lists this ribosomal RNA (494 nucleotides) under uncultured Bacteroidota bacterium. Its description in RNAcentral is "bacterial SSU rRNA". It matches the Rfam family "Bacterial small subunit ribosomal RNA", at positions 241 to 731 of the family's 1533-position model. Lineage: Bacteria; Pseudomonadati; Bacteroidota. The record is from RNAcentral.